This 28-nucleotide non-coding RNA is filed under the name Rattus norvegicus (Norway rat). The record is from RNAcentral. Lineage: Eukaryota; Metazoa; Chordata; Mammalia; Rodentia; Muridae.
UAGGAAUCUCAGGAAUGGAUUCAUGCCA